GAAAAGCACUUUGAGAAAGAGGGUUAAAUAGCACGUGAAAGUGUUGAAAGGGAAGCGCUUGUGACCAGACUUGCGCCGGGCUGAUCAUCCAGUGUUCUCUCUGGUGCACUCGACCCGGCUCAGGCCAGCGUCGGUUCUCGUAGGGGGAUAAAAGGGAACGUGGCACCUUCGGGUGUGUUAUAGCCCGCUGCUUAAUACCCCUGUGGGGACCGAGGUUCGCGCUCUGCAAGGACGCUGGCAUAAUGGUCAUCAGCGACCCGUCUUGAAACACGGACCAAGGAGUCGAGGUUUUGCGCGAGUGUUUGGGUGUAAAACCCGCACGCGUAAUGAAAGUGAACGUAGGUGAGAGCUUCGGCGCAUCAUCGACCGAUCCUGAUGUAUUCGGAUGGAUUUGAGUAAGAGCGUAAAGCCUCGGACCCGAAAGAUGGUGAACUAUGCCUGAAUAGGGUGAAGCCAGAGGAAACUCUGGUGGAGGCUCGCAGCGGUUCUGACGUGCAAAUCGAUCGUCAAA
RNAcentral lists this unclassified non-coding RNA (511 nucleotides) under Coniochaeta leucoplaca. Its description in RNAcentral is "sequence contains 28S rRNA gene". It matches the Rfam family "Eukaryotic large subunit ribosomal RNA", at positions 366 to 909 of the family's 3401-position model. The record is from RNAcentral. Lineage: Eukaryota; Fungi; Ascomycota; Sordariomycetes; Coniochaetales; Coniochaetaceae.